CUCCCUUCUCCCUCCCUGUCCUUCUGGGACUCCAAAGACUGCUUCUUUUGAUGAUAUCCCAUAGAUCAUAUAGGCUUUCUUCAGCCUUCUUUAUUCUUUUUUCUUUGUUCUUCUCUGACUAGAACAUUUCUAGGCACUUCUUCACAAGUUCUUUCCUCUCCGUGGUCCACUCUGCUGUUGAUGAUAUCUAUUGUGUUUUGCAUUUCCUUCAUUUCACCUUCCACUCCAGAUCUUCUUUUUAAUGGUUCCUCUCUCUUUAUUAAGCUUAUUUGGUUUCUGUUUUGUUUUCCUGAUUUUAUUAAAAGGUCUUUAUUAAAAAGUUUCUCUUGUAUCUCACUGAGCUUCCUUAAAAAUGUCUAUUUGAAAUUCUUUUUCCGAUACAUCCUGGAUCUCCAUGCCUUCGGGGGUCAGUCCCUGGAAAACUAUUGUAAGCCUUUGGUGGUGUCAUGUUCCCUUGAUUUUUCAUGCUCCUUGAAGCCCUGUUUUGUUUCUUUGAAUUGAAAGCAGAAGCAGUAGUCACCUCUUCUGGUUUUCACUGACCAACUUUGGGAGGCAACUUCCUUCCAUCAGCUCUGCUAGUGAUUUUGAAGCUUUCUCAGAAGUUCUAUAGUUAGGACUGUUCCAUGCUUCCUGCUUCCUCUUGUGACAGAAUUUUUUUUUUUAAGAUUAUUUAUUUAUUUAUUUGACAGACAGAGAUCACAAGUAGGCAGAGAGGCAGGCAGAGAGAGAGAGAGAGAGAGAGAGAGAGAGAGAGGGAAGCAGGCUCCCUGUGGAGCAGAGAGCCUGAUGCGGGGCUCGAUCCCAGGACCCUGAGAUCAUGACCUGAGCUGAAGGCAGUGGCUUAACCCACUGAGCCACCCAGGUGCCCCUUGUGACAGAAUUCUUAAGCUUGCAUGCCUUCUCUCAGUCCUGCAGUACACCCGGCUAAGUGCCGACAGUCUGUCAUGCUUUCCCAAGGGUGGAGCUAAAGUCCAUGUUUGUGGUCUCACCCUGGAUCAUGGCUGCAGGUGGUUUCUGUGCCAGACCCCCAAGCUGUCUAUCACAGCUUGCCCUUUCCCUUGUUAGGAACACUCACAGGAGGCUAGCCAUAGGUUGGAGGGGGUGUUUAGGUGAGGGUCAUGGAGUAUGGGGGUGCCCAUGGGCCAUUUAAGGGGGAUCUGCUGCUUUGACAUCUCCAGUGGCUUGUAGGCAGGCUUCUUAAUGGAGUCUGCGGUGUCAUUAGUGGGAUCCAUGUCCCUUGAACCCCGUCAGAGUCUUAUCUGUGUUUGGCCAGCUCCCUUUUGCCCACUCAGUCAUGCAGCUCAAUGAAUCAGUGCUUCAGAGGAGGCAGGAGGCAAAUGGGUCUCUUUGGCAGCUUUGUCUUAGCUCAGGAGCUGGGGAAGCUCCCCCCAGUGCUCUUGCUUCCCACCACGGGAGAAAUCAGUUUGAGAGGGUCUCUCUUGGCUCUGGUUGGUGUGUCUUUGGGGACAGGGGGAUGCAGGUAAUGUCAAACUGUUCUUCUUACCCUCUCCAAUGCAUGCAAACUGGACUUGUUGUUGUUGUUUUUCCGAGAGUGUGCUGGAACUUCUCUGCCUAAAACCUGGGUUUCCACAGAUGUUCUCUUAUUUGUAAGAGAUUGCCUAGGGCAGUGCUUUCUGAGGGGCUCCCAGACCACAGCCAAGAGCGGUCCCUGCAGGUUCUACAGCCAAGACUGGUAUCUAUAUGCUUUUGACCCGAUGAAUGGGUGAGUGGCUCCUUCCUUGGUGCAUGGUGCUAGAUCCCACAGCCCCCAAAGUAACUUUUGUCCACGGAUAGGUGCAAAAUUGUUUAGGGGGAGAUAUGAGCAAGGGACUUCUUAUUUGGCCAUCUUACUGACUUCAGUCCUCUUUCUAUUAUCGUUUUGUGAUGCACAGAGAGUACCAUUUUAUUAGACACCCUUUUAUUCUGUUUUUUUUCUUUUAUUAUAUAUGCAUUUUUAGUUAUUUUCUUAGUGAUCACUCUGAAGAGUAACAUUAUCAUGUAUCACAACCUGGUUAAGAUUAAUGCCAUCUUAAUUUCAACAGUAUGAAAGCUUUGAUCCUUUAUAGCUCCACCCCUCCCCACUUUAAAGCUUUGAUGGAUGGAGAAAAGUGUCAUGAGCUAAAGAAUGCAGGUGGACUCUAAAAGUUAGAAAAAGUGAGAAAACAGAUUCUCCCCCAGAGCCUCCAGAAGGAGUGCAGCCCUGCUGAGUCAUUGCAAACUUCUGAACUCCAGAACUAUAAGGUACAGUGCUGAGUGUGAGGAAGACAGAGACAUCCUCAGCCCCUGGUCUCGUGCCACUCCCAGACCAGCCUCGCCCACUAAGAAUUUACCCUUCUGCUCCCAGAGAUGGCCAAGCUUGAAAGCAGGGCUUAGAUUUCUACGCUCACCUCCUGCUACAUCCAUUUGGCCUCCAAGCCCUGUCCAUUGCACUACUGAGGCAUCUUUAGCAAGCAUUUCCUCUUCCUUGUCCCAAAGGACCCGCCUUCGUUUAAAUCCUAUUAAAACAAUGAAUAUGAUUUCCUGCCAAACAGAAGCUCCACCAUCUGGUCCAUGCUUUGUACUGAUAGCAAAUCGAUCUACCCCAAGCCAUCAAUCUGGUCUACCAAGAGAGUUUCAGCAGCUCUCUGUUUUGACUUGACAGAGUUCAACUCGUUCCUAGAGCCAUUCCUGGAGCUAACUCCUUCCAUCUAGCCAUCAGGCUGAGUGCCUGGCCAUGGCUUACCUUCCAGACCACAUCUCAUGAGUUAUUUCUUUCAGUUACUCUAGGCUCUAGUUAACACCUAAUGGCUCAUUCUCGAAGAAUCCAGCCCAGGCUCUCAUUGUUUCCUCUGCUGGAAUGGUUGCUGGGCCUUCUCCAAGAAGUCUUUCCAGACUCCUUUUGACUUGUGAGCCUUUGUGAUCCCGUAUGUUACACUUUUCUUUCUAUGAUGUUGGGAGCACCUUGUAUUUUAAAGGUUCUUUAUCUGUUUAUCUACGGCACGAUGCUGUAAGCAAGGAUAGGCAGGAUCUAUCUGUUCUCUGACUUUAUCCCAGCAUAUAGGAGAGGGCCUGACAUUCAUUCAUUCAUUCAUUCACCAUUCAUUUAUUCAUUUACUUAACAAGUGGUAAUUAAAUGCUUUGUCCAUGCUAGACAGGAGCUCUGUACGAGGCCCAGGUUUGCUGAACGCAUGAAUGGAGAGCUUGGGUGUGACGAGACCUCAGCUAUUAAGGGAGUUAAAACCUGAAAGAAAUCUGACUCUGAUGUUUUGAGUGUAUUUUGACUGGGUCUGAGCUGUCCUGGGCAUUGGCCCAAUGGACACCUCCCACUGACUCAGUGUGAUACCUUGGCUAAGGGGUUAGCUAUGUGGGUCCUCAGCCGUAGAAGGGAAAUGGUAAAAUUCUGACCCCCUGUGUAAUGCCGAGGUUCCUUUGCUCCAUUGCUUCUCUUCGAGGGCAGCUGCGGAGGAAGGAAGUCUCUCAGUUCUGGAAAUUCCCCCAUCGGAUGGGCCGUUUGGCUUCAUGCCCACAGGUCAGAAUUAGCAUCAUUGCACCUCCUACCCAUAGCAACCCUGCGGGAUGGGCAGGUCUGGGGACAAUCAUGCCAUCACAGGGAGAGGUCAAAUGACCUACCUGCCUAAGGUCAAAUGUGAGAAGGUACCCGAGCAAGGUUGGAAGGAAGCAGGUCUCCCGUCUCUGUGUUCCGAGCCGGCUUGAACUCCCCCCACCCCCCUCACUGCUCUGGCAGGCACUCUGGUGAGAAAGUGGGUCUGGACACCCAGAUUAGAAACCCAGUGUGGUCUAGGCUAGGCUCUGCUCUCCCAUCUUGGCCCACACCGCAUCCCCCCCAUUCCUGUCUCUCGGAUGGGUUUUGCAAUGCCAUCCUUCUUCUCUUCCUUGCUCUGGGCCAAACAUCAAGAUCCUGCUUCCCUUUCUAGACAUCCGCGUCUGCUGCUCAGUUUUCCUUCCAGUGGUUUUUGCUAGUUCUCCAUUUCUCUCUUCUCUCUCAUUUCAUUUUUGUGUCCUUGGGACGCAUCAUCCUAAUGAGACAUCCCGUUUUGAAGGAUGACGUAAGUUUUUCCGGGAGUGCUUGAGUCUGUAAGCCUUCUAAGAAAAAGAAAGUCAUAAAACCCCUUCUCUCUUCCGUUAUUUGCAUCUGGUAAAACAAAGGAACCGCACCUGCCCAAGCCCCUGCUGGCUUCUCAACCAGGCCCACAGGGAAACCAAGAGGCAGCUCUGACUCUAGAGCUUUCCUGCAAGCCAACCAGAGCUCAGAGCGGCUAACUCCCUGUGAAUGUAGGAGACCACCCUAUCUCUGGUGGGUGCAGCCCCAGGUGAAGGGGCCGUUCGAUGGGUGCACUGCAGCUCUGGGUUGAAAACAGAAAGGCGCCAAGGGGACGUUCAGCACCCACUCCCCAUCUUGGAGACUGAGGCUCCUACAGCCAGAGGAAGCAGCGACUUACUCAAAGUCACAAAUCAGUGACGGCUAAUUGGGGCUGCCACCUCAGUCUCUGAUUCCUCUCCUGGGAGGGGGUCUUUCCUCUCCCACAGGGUUCUUAAAGCAUCAGGGGGCUCUGGUAAGUGAACUGUGGAAUGGAUUCUGGAUCAAUCCCUCGCAGUCACUUACUUCAUGCCUUUGAGCUUGAUGACAUUGCCUGGAGGGGGUCAUAUCGUUGGGUCACAUGCUGGCCACAGAGUCUUUACUCGUGUGAUUUCGGCCCUCUGAGGUGCUGGUGAGGGAAACCGAGGCAAGGACCUCUUAACUGUUGGUCAUCCACAUGUCUGUCCCCCAAACGCACAGUCACCUGCUUGUGUCACAGAGUGGGAGAUGCUCUGAAGCCAGCAGGGGAUCCAUCCCCAAGGAAGAGCCGUUCUCAGGGUUGCCACUCCCAUGACUGUGGUGGAGGGACGCCGCACCUCACAGCUGGUCAAGACUGGUCAAGUCUGUUUGCCUAUCAUCUCUCAUUUCCCACCUCCACAACAACCCAGGGGGAUAGACACUCCGUGUUCCCCUUUGCCAAGUGAGAACUCAAGGUUCAGAGGAGUUAAGCACCUCAGACGGGGCCCUGUAGCUAGAACCUGCCAGAACCAAAGCUCUGAAUCUGGGGCUUUUGGGCUGUCCUGCUCUCCCACACAAAUUCAUAGUCCUAAAGCUCAUCCGUCCUGAGCAUCUCCCACAACCAGGUUUCCUCAGGCCCUUCCAGCAAGCUGGUGAAGUCCCCCCUCCCCGAGGGUCAGUGGUGAAGUAGCUAAAGUGGGCUGCACAUUCGGGGCACGUUCUGUGGCCCGGGCUUGCCCAAGCCUGCAGCCUGGAGGAGAAAUCGGGAGCCCUCCAGGCCGACGGGCCAGGCUGGGACUUCCUGCCCAGAGGUCUCUUUCUCUCUGCUGAGUCCCGCUGGGCCUCUGAGAGAAACAGAGAGGCCUUCUGUCGGAGCAGCCUGGGGUUUCCUGUCCCCCUCACCUCUUCAGGACUCUUCAGGACCUCCGCUCUCUGGAGAGGGAAGCUAAGCCAGGAGUGGAUAGCCAGUGAGGAUUGGACAGCAGGGCUCUUAAAGGAAGACUGCUUUCAUUCAUUCACUCAUGCACUCACUCAUUCAUUCAUCCCUGCAUCCUUUAACAAAGCUCUAUAGUGAUCUAUUCUGCGAGAGACACUGCUCGCUGUUUGGGGGUCUGGGGUUGGUAGAACAUGGCACAGGACUUCAAGGAGUUGAGUGUUGGUCCAGCAGGUUGAAUAGAAAACUGUCAGUUGUCCUGAGCUCUUCUAGCUAUAAAAUCAUCCCCUUCCAGCCCCUUCUUUGCCAUCCUCUUCUUUGGGUUCUUAAAACAUUUUUCCUGGGUACGAAAAGGCUCCCGGCUGGGCUUUCAGCCAUCCUCCACCCCAAUGCCGAAGGACUGAGAUGCCAAUCCAUUGGGUCUCUUCCAUGCUGAGAAUCUCUCAGUGGUCCUUCUGAGUCCUCAGGGUAAAGUCCAAGCCCAUCAGCAUGUCUAUCCGGAACUUGGUUGUGGCUCAGUUCCUUCCUCUCUCUCUAGCUUCCCUUCAAACUUCAGGCACUCAGGCUCCAGAAAAGCCAAAGUGGUUUUCAGGGACUCCCCCCACUCCCUCCUCUACCAAGAUCACACUUCUGGGUCUUUGCACAUAAGCCAUUUGCUCUUUCUGGAGACUCUUACCCUUCUUCACCAGCCAACUUCUACUCAUUCUGCAAAACCCAGUUCAGAGGCCCUUUCCUCCUGGAAGCCAAGGCUAGAAAAGAUGCCAGUAUUCUACAUUUCUACAGCAUUUAGAAAUGUAUUUCAGUGUUUAUCUAUUCUCUUGGUCUUGCUAGUCUCCCCCUCCCCAUUUAUCUGGAGACCGUGGUUCCCCAAGACAUAGAUAAUGCCUGGACAAAGACAGUGCUUAAUAAUGUUCUACUGAACGAACACAAGGGAAAUUCCAAAGACAGAAACUUAUUUAUCCUCCCUGCUCUAAAACCACUUGCAAAAUGCAGCCAACUUGGUCCACCCUCCAGGGUGUCUGGAGCUCAGAAGGAAGGAAUGUGUCUGUGAUUUUCUGGAGAACAAAAGGGUUACUUUCAAGCCCACAGAUGUGGCAAAAAGAAGGAGCAGCUGUUAAUCAUUGUAACUGGGAAAGUCCGCACACUUUCCUGUGGUUUUUCGCUACAACAUAGGUCCUUGGACAGAUUUCAAGAGGAAAAUAACAAGCUAUUUGACCUUUUCCUCUUGCUAGCCAGCAUUUUUUGCUCUCUGCUCCACGGCCACAGUUUCAAUCUAGGAUGAUUCCGUUCUUCCCACUCUAGGGCUGGAGCUUGCAGAACUAGCCCUGUGCACAGGUGUCUUGCUGGCCCCAGGAGCUGAGAUCCGUGGACUUGCCACCUGUUACAUGUCUUGGAAUCUAGAGAGAGCCAGUGAGUUCUUCAACUUCCUUCUUGCUGCCCUGCCAUGGAUUCAUUCUCAUUGCAGAAAAGUGCUGUAGAGAGAAUGACAGUUAUCAGCAGGCCUACCACUUCCAAGGAAGUUAGAAGAGGUGGGAUAUUUCCGCUGGAUGCUUUACAUCUUAAUUCAUGAAAAUAAUCAGAAUGUCCCACCAGAAUAGAUACUGGGUCUAUAUGGACCCAUUAAACAGGGGUACUUCCUGCCUUGGUGAAGUUCACCUCUGUUAGUUCUCUCUGCAGAUGAAAAAAUUGGGCUGGCGGGGUAAAGCGACUUGGUCAAGGUCACACAAUCAGCUGAAAUCAGAACUGAAAUUAGAAUCUAGGGCUUCUGACUCUUGUGUGGUCUGCCUUGGGCACCGUCUUGAUAAGUGACAGCCUGUGCUCUCACUAUCUAGCUGUCUGACACUGUGCAGACAUGUCUGGGCACAUCACCCUGACUCAGAAACAUGUCUCAUGUGCGCCAGAAGCAACUUUGCUACCGGAACCCAGGAGUCCCGUGUGUACCUUGGCCCACCUCCAGCUGUGAACCCAGACCCCAGCCAACCUGUAAUUCUGGGGAUUUGGCCUGGCCACCCCCUCUUCCUUCCCCCAGCUUCACCUCCCAGAGUCCAUACCUGAUGCUGGAUGAGACCCCGUGUUCAGAAAAAUUUCAUCUUGGUCUUUGGGUUUUGGAUUUUUUAUUUUAUUUUUUUUUAACAUCCUUACCUGAAUAGACAGAAGGAAAAAGAGGGCAUUCAUCCUAGGGGUACAAUCUACCUUUGCCGCUGAUGUUUGUGUGCACAUAACCAAACGCUGGGAUCCAAGCUCCUCACCCAUCAGUGGAUCCCAAGGGCCCAGAAUUCUCCUUGUUAGGGUGUGUCAUUCAGCUAAAGCUCAUCCUGAGUUUUGGCAUUCUACCUUUGCGAUGUUUUCACAUAUCUUUGUAAAACCGUUCUCUGACAGACCUAGUGAUUUUCUUUAAAAUGACUCACAUUUUUUUUUUUUUACUUAAAUACAUGCGUUUUGAAAGGAAACAUUUUAUGACUGCUAUAAAUGUGAAACCAAUAUUGUUUGCUAUUCUUGCCAUCAAAAUAAACAUUGUUUUUCGAUUGGAGCUGGAUGCACUUGCCUGCCUGAUGUCGGAGCUCUGAGCUUACUCUCUUGUUGAAGAGAGGGAGAGGGAGACAGAGAGAAGGGGGAGGAGGUUGUGAACCCAGGAAGAAAUGGAGGCCCAGAGAGUCCGCACCGCCGAAGAUCACACAGCUGGGGAGAGACCUUGAGCCUCCAGGUUGGGAACGUAGACCCGACCUGAUGUGCACGGGGCCUGGCCUCCCUCUGAAGAACAGCUGGACUGUGGACAAGAGAACUGAGCCAAGGACGUUUGUGGGAAAUGACCCUAGAAGACGAAGUCCUAUGGCGCUGGUCCCAUGACCUUCCCCGGGGGAUCCCCUUCCCAUAUUGUCAUCUCCCCAGUGGCAGUGAUGCACAUGCAGUGGGAGUCGGUGUCCAGGGGCUCCCAUGAUAGAAACAGCAUGUUGCCCUUUAUUAAGAUAGGGUCAUCAAAAUUACCUGCAAGAAAUCCUUUCUGCAGCUGCCGAGAGUGAAAUGUUGGUGGUUAAGGGUUUGAGUCUGCCCAGCCGCCUUUGUCCAGACUGUCAAUGACCGGAACCAGCCCUGGGACCCAGGCAAGGCCACUCUCGAAGUUUCCUCGAGUACCUGGUGCAGACCAGGGCUUCUCAACACUGAGCUGGGCUGAACCACGGAUUGGAGCCCAGGCUUCAAGAGGAGGGAACUGACCAGGCUGAACCUGAUGGUCAGUGAGCCACAGUGACUUGCCUGAGGUGAUCAGGUUCACACCUGACCUAUUUGCGGUGUGCCCCAAGACUGCUUGACUGCAAAGUCCAGAGUUGUGUUCCCUCCUCCACUCUUCCUCCCAAGACCAUCUGCACACUGAUCCCUUCACCAGAGCAUUCUACAGCGGCGACUCUCCAUUCCAUUUUAGUGAAGGCUACCUCAGAGCCAUCGAAGCAUCGAGAGUAAGUCUUUCAGGCAACUCAGAAGAAGGAGACCUGAGCAGCUUAAGGAAGGGGACUAUACGAUUGGAAAAGAAGUGUAGAAUGAAUGCCCUGUCUCAUGUUUGGGUGGCUACCACCCAGCCUCAGAAAAACAGCUUCAAUUCAAAGCCUAUGUCCUACUUUUUACUUUUCCCUACUUCCUGAUUUGGAAAUACAAGUAGUAAGCUGUAUAUAGCAGCCUUUCAUACAACACAUGCAUCUAUUACUUUUUCCAUGUCUCCAAGUCACUGGGUGUGGCUUGGUCUACUUAGUUCCAGAAACCACUUACAAGAGCCAGGUCAUAGGAGUAAAUUUAACCUCAAACCAGAUCAUUGGGUCUGUAGGACGUGACCUCUUUUUACACUGAUGAUUCAUGUAUUGAGUCAAAGUUGGGUUUGGGGCCUUCUAGAGCCAAGGAGUCUAGUUAUUGGGUCUUUUCCUCUCUUGGAGAUGGUUCUUUUCUGAUCGGGCUGUGUUUUAUAAACUGCAUGUAGAAAAUGGAACAUUUGACCGACCUUCCUUCUUUCCUUCUUCCUUCUUACAUUUAUUGGAAUGCAUAUUAUGCUCCUGCCCUUAUUGUGAGGAAUGAGGAAAACUCCCUGCCCUCAGGGAGGGUGUUCAGGGUCUACAGACCCCCAAAUGACUUGGCAAAUCCCAACAUUACACCUACUGCAAUGAAAGUUUGCAUAGAACCCCGCAUCCAAAUCUGCCAAAGGAGGAAAACUUCAGUUACAAAUGUUCAGAGCCUGGAUACGGCCUUUGCGAUGGAAGAGGGGUUUCCUCUAGGAUCUAGUUCUUUUCUGUAGAGCCAAGAUGGUCUCAGGGGACCACCGCAGCCCAGCCAGAAACAGGUAGGCAGUCGGGACAGGUGAAGCAGGAAAGGGGGUGAUCUUUUGUCUUGAGCUGAAGCCCACUGAUGAAGAGAACAUGGUAACAGGUCUCCCGGGACUCACCUGGCUCCUCCCUCAGAGAUGUUGGGAACUCGGGGCCCGGGGCUGUUGGAGAUGUCACCUUUAAGACAGUGGUGGCUGUGGCUGCCUUCUUGGGCCUUGUGAUGGUACUUCUAGUAUGUCUAGGCCCCAUCAGAUCAGUUACCCGCACAAGGAAAGAACCAUGAUAUUAAAUCACGAAGGAUUUUCCAAUAAAGUGGUUGAAGGUGGGGGGGAAGGGAAGCCAACUGGGCUUCAGAAGGGACAGAGGCCAAUUUCCUUUAGUCUGGAGCUCCAAGUAUACAGCAGAAUUUCCUGAUUUCUUGUCUCAGAUUUUAAGGCCACCUUGGGGCUAUCUGGCCUAUGGUGUGUACCAGAUGUUUGAUGUUGUGAUCUCAGAGCUGGACAGGGGCCAUCCCUUCUCCAGCCCCUGUUGUCUCCCUCCCAGAGUCUGAUAGAGUCUCACACAGUUCUGGAGAAAGGGCAGUUCACCAGUAACUAGGAGAACCAUGAAUGGUUAACAGAAUGGGAGCCCAUUCUGCACCAUGAAGGGUAUGGGGGAGAUUAAUUUCUUCUCAACAAUAACUGUUCUCCCCACCAGUUCCCAGUUCAGCCAGUAGCUACCCCAGGCACGAAUAGAAGGAAGGGGACCCUCUCCUUUGUUGGGUGUCUGAUGUGAAUAUUCUGUACCUGUGUGUGCACGUGUGCGUUGGAGUGGAAAGAGCUACCAUGCUGUUGUAGCAGUAGAUUCCCGAAGAAAGCAGAGAAACAAGAGUCAUUGGAGACCAGGUCUUUGGGUGGGCAGGUAUGCGCUUUCGAGUAUGGCCAACUGUUGAGAGAAAUUUCUGGACCCAUACAAACGUUCCCAUGCCCUAAAAUGGGUAUGUUAUUAUUUGCUUUCACUUACCCACAACCUCCACACAGCCCCAGGCCUUGGUCUCUGACUCGAAAUGACAGACACCAUGACAGAUACGAAAAUGAAGAUGAGUCAUCCUCAAAUUUUGCUUUUUUGAUCGAUAAAAUACCUGCUGUGCAUGCAGGCUCCCAUCUGUGACUGCUGUUUGCAACCAACCCAUCAGGUUGCUCUCAGGACAAGCUCACGUUCCAGAAAUUAAUCUAUCUAUCUUGCAAGAAAAAACAUGUUACCGCGAGAGCCUCUCAGGAGUGUGCUUUGACGUCAGUGUUCCAUGAGAGAGGAAGGGAUGAGAAAGGGGGUUGACAGAGGACAAGGUGUGAUGGAAACCGUAACUGGUAUCGUUUUUGACACAACUCUCUGGGCCACCCUGGUGCACUGCCAUCCUCCCUCAAGACUGACCCCUUUCAUGAAACUCUGGUUUUCCAGAAUGACCCGAAGGCUUUCUGAAAAUGCAGAUUUCUGGGCUCUUCCUGCCAAGAUCCAGUAGAUAUAUGCAGCAGGGAAAACAAAUUUUACACCAGCCAUCCCACUGUGUCAAUGCCUGAACGAGAUAAUGAUUCAUUUCUCAAGCCACAAUCCAGUAUAAGUUAGUGGGGUGGAGUUCUCUGGAGUUGAUCUGGACAUAUUCUUCUCCUGGUUAUUCUGGGACCCCAGACUCCUCCAUCUUGGCUUCUACCCUUCCUUGUAGCUUCAGAGUCCUCAGAUAAGAGCAUGAAAUGAAGGGGUGCAGAGAGGACACACCUGCUCUUAAUUUCUGCAGCAAAGAGGUGACCGUGUUACUUCCAUUCACCUCCCAUUCGUGAGACCUGGUUCCACACCUCCAUGCUGCGCCCCGGGGAAAUAGUGUCUAAUGCCCAGAAGGGAAAGGGAUCUUGGUGAAAAGUUAGCCAGACCCAGCCACUAUCUGGGAUGGGGACAUACAUGUUAUUUGCUACAAGCAUCCUUGGCAACUCUAACAAAGAUGGCAUGAUGCCCAUAUUCUUGAGAAAUACUUAGCCACAGACACCUGCGUGGGUAAUAGCAGGUGGGUGCUAAUCCACUUACAGAUCGUGGAGCCUGGCUCGUGGGGACAGACAUGUAAAUAUACAAAGUAAACCUCCAGAGCGAUCUAGUGUUUUCAGGGUGGUGGUUCUUAUCCGCACGGAAGGUUCUUGUCUGCACGGAAGGUCUCCAGCUGCUGCUCCAGCCCACAAUUCCCCGUCCCCGGGACUGGAAGACUCCUCACAUCCCUUGGGAACUUGCGUUCUUCUAUAAAGUGGGAAUGUGAACACACGACAUCAGAUUAAGUCAGUCGAAGGUCUAUUAGUAACCAGCCAUGCAGUAGGUAUACAAUAAAUGUUACAAGUAUUUAGCAGAGCGUGGUCAAAGGGUUACAAACUUCCAGUGAGUACAUGAAUAUGUUAUGGGGUUGUCACUGACCCCGUGGACACUAUGCUUACCAAUAUUGUAUGUUUCAAAGUUGCUAAGAAAGUAGAUAUUACAAGUUUGUCAUACAGAGGUGAGGGCGGGGAGAAAUUGUAACUACGUGAAACAGGUUGAGUAGACUCAUGACAAUCAUUUUGUGAUACAUGCACACAUCAGAUCAUUAUGCUUACGAAUUUAACUAAUACAAGAUUACAUAUCAGUUGUAUCUCAGGAAAACUGGGGGAAAAUUAUCGUCAAAAUGAGAACAUAAAAAAACUUGUAUUGACCACUGUGAGCUUGAUAGUUUCCCAAUACUUAAAGGUUUCAUGGGUGCAUGGUGGCUCUGUCAUUAGACAUCUGCUUUCCGCUCAAGUCAUGAUCCCAGGGUGCCGGGAUCCAGUCCCGCAUCGGGCUCUCCACUCAGCGGGGAGUCUGCUUCUUCCUCUCCUUCUGCUUCUCUCUCUGUCUCUCAUGAGUAAAUAAAUAAAAGAUUUGAAAAAAAAAUAAAUUAAAAAUACUUUGCUGGUGAGAUUAGUGAAUCUAAUAUUUGACACUAUGUAAUAAAAUCUGUCAACAUUUGAAUGUCUGCCUACCUGCAUAAAGCAAUACUUUCCAAAUGACCAAUGUUUAAAUUUUUUUUGACUUGGUGAAUGCUUUGAUCACAAUUCAGAAUAUUUACGUAAGAUGGUUUCAUCUGCUUUAAACUAAUGAGAAAAUUUUACUUGGUUUACUAGAAAGUGCAGAAUGAAAAAUGAACAAAGUUUUAGGCCCAAUAAACAAAUAUGGGAAGGAUUGAUUUGGCCCAUAAGAGCCAGAUCUGAUCCUCCUGACUGCUUUGUUAUGUUGUUAAAUUGGUUCAAUGCAGCAUGUGAGCAAUUUUUGGAAGCCUCAUCUUACGAUGAUUGCAUGCUACUUUUUCAAAAUACAAAAAGAAAGAAAAAGUCUCAUGGAUAUAAUUCUGGCCAUCUGUUCACAAAGGAAACAGGAUUAUUUUAAGUGAAUUUUUAAUUUUAGCAUAAUAUUUAUUUUUUUAAAGAUUUUAUUUAUUUAU
Mustela lutreola (European mink) is the source of this 13238-nucleotide long non-coding RNA. RefSeq lists it as uncharacterized. The transcript has 7 exons. The record is from RefSeq and is a predicted model, not a curated record. NCBI's taxonomy places the organism in Eukaryota, Metazoa, Chordata, Mammalia, Carnivora, Mustelidae.